RNAcentral lists this ribosomal RNA (500 nucleotides) under Pseudidiomarina sediminum. RNAcentral describes it as "bacterial SSU rRNA". It matches the Rfam family "Bacterial small subunit ribosomal RNA", at positions 38 to 524 of the family's 1533-position model. The record is from RNAcentral. Lineage: Bacteria; Pseudomonadati; Pseudomonadota; Gammaproteobacteria; Alteromonadales; Idiomarinaceae.
UGGGGGGGGGGAGGCUACACAUGCAAGUCGAGCGGUAACAGGAAGAAGCUUGCUUCUUUGCUGACGAGCGGCGGACGGGUGAGUAAUACUUGGGAACUUGCCUUUAGGAGGGGGAUAACCGCUGGAAACGGUGGCUAAUACCGCAUAAUGUCUACGGACCAAAGCAGGGGCUCUUCGGACCUUGCACCUAAAGAUAGGCCCAAGCGAGAUUAGCUAGUUGGUGGGGUAAAGGCCCACCAAGGCGACGAUCUCUAGCUGUUCUGAGAGGAUGAUCAGCCACACUGGGACUGAGACACGGCCCAGACUCCUACGGGAGGCAGCAGUGGGGAAUAUUGCACAAUGGGGGAAACCCUGAUGCAGCCAUGCCGCGUGUGUGAAGAAGGCCUUCGGGUUGUAAAGCACUUUCAGUGGUGAGGAAGGCCGUAAGAUUAAUACUCUUGCGGAUUGACGUUAACCACAGAAGAAGCACCGGCUAACUCCGUGCCAGCAGCCGCGGUAAU